Molecule: long non-coding RNA, 582 nt
Organism: Scylla paramamosain (green mud crab)
Lineage: Eukaryota; Metazoa; Arthropoda; Malacostraca; Decapoda; Portunidae
Exons: 3
Source: RefSeq, a predicted model, not a curated record
AUGUGUGAUCAUUCACCCCAUAGACACCCACCCCCCCUCUCUGCACCCUCUUCACCCCACAAACCUUCCUCACCUUUCCUCCUCUCUUCCCUCUGUUCAUCUUCACCUCUCCCUGCUACUUUUUUUUUUUUUUUUUUCUCUCAGCGUCCCCCUUUCCCAUCACCCAUCAUUCUUUCCUCUCACCGCUCACCCUCACCACCACCACCAUCUUCCUCUUCACAUUCACCCCCUCCUCCAUCUCCCGCGCCCCCCUCAUCCGUCACCAUCACCCUCACCGCCACCAGCUGCCGAAAACACGUUUGACUCAAGUCGUUCAACACUCAUACUUUAUCAAUCAGAGGAAGAAGACUACAACCUUCCAUCGCCACCACCCUCUGAUGAAGACUACGUCAUCUGGCGUGCAUCAGCGAUAAGCAUGACUCGGCUGCCUCUACAAAUGUAUCAUGCACUGUGAUGCGUGGGGCAGUGUGGUGUGGACACGCGGGAGAGGAACGACUGACCACUGGCCAGUCCUCGACGGAAGCACACUCCUGUUUGUGGUGAGUAGUGAUUACAGAACUUUUACAGUAAUAUGUUGCUGUU